CCUACGGGAGGCUGCAGUGGGGAAUCUUGGGCAAUGGGCGAAAGCCUGACCCAGCCAUGCCGCGUGAGUGAUGAAGGCCUUCGGGUCGUAAAGCUCUGUGGGAAGGGACGAAAACCUACGGGAAUAAUACCCCGUAGCUUGACGGUACCUUCUUAGCAAGCACCGGCUAACUCCGUGCCAGCAGCCGCGGUAAUACGGAGGGUGCAAACGUUGCUCGGAAUUAUUGGGCGUAAAGCGCGCGUAGGUGGUCUGGUAAGUCGGAUGUGAAAGCCCUUGGCUUAACCAAGGAAGUGCAUCCGAGACUGCUAGGCUUGAGUACGAAAGAGGGUUUUGGAAUUCUCGGUGUAGAGGUGAAAUUCGUAGAUAUCGAGAGGAACACCAGUGGCGAAAGCGAAAACCUGGGUCGAUACUGACACUAAUGCGCGAAAGCGUGGGGAGCAAACAGGAUUAGAUACCCCAGUAGUC
This 465-nucleotide ribosomal RNA is filed under the name uncultured Myxococcales bacterium. RNAcentral's name for it is "bacterial SSU rRNA". It matches the Rfam family "Bacterial small subunit ribosomal RNA", at positions 338 to 795 of the family's 1533-position model. Lineage: Bacteria; Pseudomonadati; Myxococcota; Myxococcia; Myxococcales. The record is from RNAcentral.